GACGAACGCUGGCGGCGUGCUUAACACAUGCAAGUCGAACGGAAAGGCCCUGCUUUUGUGGGGUGCUCGAGUGGCGAACGGGUGAGUAACACGUGAGUAACCUGCCCUUGACUUUGGGAUAACUUCAGGAAACUGGGGCUAAUACCGGAUAGGAGCUCCUGCUGCAUGGUGGGGGUUGGAAAGUUUCGGCGGUUGGGGAUGGACUCGCGGCUUAUCAGCUUGUUGGUGGGGUAGUGGCUUACCAAGGCUUUGACGGGUAGCCGGCCUGAGAGGGUGACCGGCCACAUUGGGACUGAGAUACGGCCCAGAUCCUACGGGAGGCAGCAGUGGGGAAUAUUGCACAAUGGGCGGAAGCCUGAUGCAGCAACGCUGCGUGCGGGAUGACGGCCUUCGGGUUGUAAACCGCUUUCGCCUGUGACGAAGCGUGAGGGACGGUAAUGGUAAA
Molecule: ribosomal RNA, 445 nt
Filed under: Cutibacterium acnes
Lineage: Bacteria; Bacillati; Actinomycetota; Actinomycetes; Propionibacteriales; Propionibacteriaceae
Description: bacterial SSU rRNA
Rfam family: Bacterial small subunit ribosomal RNA
Source: RNAcentral